RNAcentral lists this non-coding RNA (23 nucleotides) under Cricetulus griseus (Chinese hamster). Lineage: Eukaryota; Metazoa; Chordata; Mammalia; Rodentia; Cricetidae. The record is from RNAcentral.
UUCUGUCUCGGAGAAAUGGGCUG